Molecule: unclassified non-coding RNA, 200 nt
Filed under: uncultured fungus
Lineage: Eukaryota; Fungi
Description: sequence contains ITS1, 5.8S rRNA gene
Rfam family: 5.8S ribosomal RNA (bases 152-200)
Source: RNAcentral
UUUCCGUAGGUGAACCUGCGGAAGGAUCAUUAAUAAAUGUUACUUCGGUAACUUAAUUAAUCCCUAACACCUGUGCAUCUUGUCGCUUCGGCGUCAUUUUAUAAACAACAGUGUAAUGAAUGUAAUGUAUUAUAACAAAUACAACUUUCAACACUUUCAACAACGGAUCUCUUGGCUCUCGCAUCGAUGAAGAACGCAGC